CACUCGAAGAAGUCAAGGUUACAAAAGCUAACUGGAUUGAAGACACAUCCACGAGUCAAGUCAAGUCAGCCACUUGUCGAGCCUCUGUCAGUGUUGCCUGUGCUUGUGCUAGUCUCUAGCCUACUCUCUUUCACUUCCACUUGUACUGAGCCAGUGUACUGUCGACGCGAUUGCGUCCAAAAAACCAUUGUAUUUACUGAUAGGCGUGAAUCUUCUUUAUCACCGAGUGCAGUAUUAUUUUUUCAUCAUCUCACAACUAUAGGCCUACAUUUCAACAUGCCCAACUGUCCGAAGUGCGACAAACCCUGUUUACUUUGCUGAGAGAAAAACAUCAUUGGGGAAGGAUUGGCAUGGACCUUGUUUGAGAUGUGAAAAAUGUAACAAAACCCUCGAACCUGGAAGGCAUUCUGAACAUGACGGAAAACCAUACUGCAACCAGCCAUGUUACGCAGCUCUGUACGGACCUGGAGGUUUUGGACGAGGUGGAGCUGAAAGUUACAUCUACAAGUGAAAUUGAAGUCUUUUGAAAUUACCAAAACCAUUCAUCUUUAUCAGUAUUUAUUCACUCACAUCAUGAUAUAAAAUAUAUUAUUUUUUAUUACAAGUUUUAAA
Nilaparvata lugens (brown planthopper) is the source of this 612-nucleotide long non-coding RNA. RefSeq lists it as uncharacterized. The record is from RefSeq and is a predicted model, not a curated record. Lineage: Eukaryota; Metazoa; Arthropoda; Insecta; Hemiptera; Delphacidae. The transcript is spliced from 3 exons.